Non-coding RNA from Salmo salar (Atlantic salmon), 54 nucleotides. Lineage: Eukaryota; Metazoa; Chordata; Actinopteri; Salmoniformes; Salmonidae. The record is from Rfam.
UGCAGUCCAAUUUGUAAGUCGCUCUGGAUAAGAGCGUCUACUAAAUGACGUUAA